Phodopus roborovskii (desert hamster) is the source of this 162-nucleotide small nuclear RNA. RefSeq annotates it as U1 spliceosomal RNA. The transcript has a single exon. NCBI's taxonomy places the organism in Eukaryota, Metazoa, Chordata, Mammalia, Rodentia, Cricetidae. The record is from RefSeq and is a predicted model, not a curated record.
AUACUUACUUGGCAUGGGAGAUGCCAUGAUCAGAAAGGUAGUUUUCCCAGGGUGAGGCAUAUCCAUUGCACUCUGGAUGUGCUGAGCCCUGUGAUUUCCUCAACUGCAGAAAAUUCAACUGCAUAAUUUGUGGUAGUGGGGACUGCAUUUUCUCUCUCCCCU